AUAAUUCAAAAAUUUGAAUUAAACUUUGUAAGUUUGCAGCGAUGAAUACGAAAAUAUUUCUAUUUGUCUUAGUUGCCGUUUUUACGGUUGCCUUGAUUUCCGAUGUUAUGGCUGAUCCAUCAGCUGAAGCAAACUCUGCUGCACUCUCACGAUCUAAGAGGGACAUUAUGGCAGAAUUUUUGAAGUUCCUUAACAGCAUACCUGCAUUUGCACCAAUCAAUACAAUAAUAAAGAAAAUAAUUAGUGCAAUAAUUUCAUUCUUUUCAUUAUUUCCAUAGAAUACACUUAAGAUGAACUACGGCGUUAAAAGGUUGUGCUUAAACAAUUGUGGCAUAAUAUAUAUAAUGGUAAUAUUAUCUAUGAUUAUAAAAAACAAAAAGAUAUUUUUGAUGUAAAAAUUAUGUAAAACAAAUAAAUAAUGUGCAAUUA
This is a long non-coding RNA of Cataglyphis hispanica, 429 nucleotides long. RefSeq lists it as uncharacterized. The transcript is spliced from 2 exons. NCBI's taxonomy places the organism in Eukaryota, Metazoa, Arthropoda, Insecta, Hymenoptera, Formicidae. The record is from RefSeq and is a predicted model, not a curated record.